AUGGGCGAGCUGCCUGCCGGGUACCGCUUCUACCCUACGGAGGAGGAGCUGGUGCGCUUCUACCUCCGGCACAUGCUCGACGGCCGCCGCCGCGGCGACAUCGAGCGCGUCAUCCCCGUCGCCGACGUCUGCUCCCUCGACCCCUGGCAGCUCCCAGAGGUGCACCGGGGAGCGUGUGCAGGGCACGGGGAGCCGUGGUUCUACUUCUGCGCGCGGCAGGACCGGGAGGCACGGGGCGGGCGGCCCAGCCGCACGACGCCGUCAGGCUACUGGAAGGCGGCGGGCACGCCAGGGUUGGUCUACUCCGCCGAUGGCCGCCCCGUCGGGACCAAGAAGACCAUGGUGUUCUACCGCGGCCGCGCACCGGCCGGAGCCAAGACCAAGUGGAAGAUGAACGAGUACAGGGCCUUCGACGACGACGGUGCUGAUGCCGCCGCUCGGCUCCAGGUGAGGAGCGAGUUCAGCUUGUGCCGGCUGUACACAAGGUCAGGCAGCUUGCGGCAGUUCGACCGCCGGCCGUGCACUGCCGCCGCCGGAGGAUGCCGCUCUGAGGACCCGGCGUCGUCGUCCGCCGCGCUUGCGUCGCCCAAUCAGGAUGUUGAAGUGGGAAAGGGUCAGAAGAGGAAAAGGCAUGCAGCCAACGACGUCCCGUCGUCCAGCGACGCCUACCGCUCCGUGCAGCAGCAGCAGAAGCAGGGAGGCGCCGAUGAGGAGCUCGCCGACGGCAUGACCGACUGGGCAGAGCUCUUUGACUGGGUCUAA
Molecule: ribosomal RNA, 762 nt
Filed under: Triticum aestivum (bread wheat)
Lineage: Eukaryota; Viridiplantae; Streptophyta; Magnoliopsida; Poales; Poaceae
Description: partial small subunit ribosomal RNA
Source: RNAcentral